Molecule: ribosomal RNA, 435 nt
Filed under: uncultured bacterium
Lineage: Bacteria
Description: partial 16S ribosomal RNA
Rfam family: Bacterial small subunit ribosomal RNA
Source: RNAcentral
AGCGAACGCUGGCGGCAGGCUUAACACAUGCAAGUCGAACGGGCAUCUUCGGAUGUCAGUGGCAGACGGGUGAGUAACACGUGGGAACGUACCCUUCGGUUCGGAAUAACUCAGGGAAACUUGAGCUAAUACCGGAUACGCCCUUUUGGGGAAAGGUUUACUGCCGAAGGAUCGGCCCGCGUCUGAUUAGCUUGUUGGUGGGGUAACGGCCUACCAAGGCGACGAUCAGUAGCUGGUCUGAGAGGAUGAUCAGCCACACUGGGACUGAGACACGGCCCAGACUCCUACGGGAGGCAGCAGUGGGGAAUAUUGGACAAUGGGCGCAAGCCUGAUCCAGCCAUGCCGCAUGAGUGAUGAAGGCCUUAGGGUUGUAAAGCUCUUUUGUCCGGGACGAUAAUGACGGUACCGGAAGAAUAAGCCCCGGCUAACUUCGUG